RNAcentral lists this ribosomal RNA (536 nucleotides) under Gordonia terrae. RNAcentral describes it as "bacterial SSU rRNA". It matches the Rfam family "Bacterial small subunit ribosomal RNA", at positions 104 to 654 of the family's 1533-position model. The record is from RNAcentral. Lineage: Bacteria; Bacillati; Actinomycetota; Actinomycetes; Mycobacteriales; Gordoniaceae.
GGGUGANUANCACGUGGGUGAUCUGCCCUGCACUCUGGGAUAAGCCUGGGAAACUGGGUCUAAUACCGGAUAUGACCAACUGUCGCAUGGUGGUUGGUGGAAAGCUUUUGCGGUGUGGGAUGGGCCCGCGGCCUAUCAGCUUGUUGGUGGGGUAAUGGCCUACCAAGGCGACGACGGGUAGCCGACCUGAGAGGGUGAUCGGCCACACUGGGACUGAGACACGGCCCAGACUCCUACGGGAGGCAGCAGUGGGGAAUAUUGCACAAUGGGCGCAAGCCUGAUGCAGCGACGCCGCGUGAGGGAUGACGGCCUUCGGGUUGUAAACCUCUUUCACCAGGGACGAAGCGUGAGUGACGGUACCUGGAGAAGAAGCACCGGCCAACUACGUGCCAGCAGCCGCGGUAAUACGUAGGGUGCGAGCGUUGUCCGGAAUUACUGGGCGUAAAGAGCUCGUAGGCGGUUUGUCGCGUCGUCUGUGAAAUUCUGCAACUCAAUUGCAGGCGUGCAGGCGAUACGGGCAGACUUGAGUACUACAG